AUGAGCUGCAGUUUGUCAGAGAUCAGCUGUUCUGCUCUGGCCUCAGCUCUGAAGUCCAACAUCCAUCUGAGAGAGCUGGACCUGAGACUCAACGAUCUGAAGGCUUCAGAUGUGAAGCUGCUGAGAGAUCUUCUGGAGAGUCCAGACUGCAGACUGGAGACCCUCAGGAUCACAGGAGAGCCGUUCAGAGCCAAGAUCCAGAAGACCUGUGACAGAGUUUGGACUUUGGAGAGACAGCUAACGGACAAACUCAAGGAACUGAAAGACACUCCCUAACAGGCCGUAUGCUGUGUAGCUUUACCUUGGAUGACUCAGUGCAGUGUUCUGUGCAGGUUGUUGGUUUGCUCUUCCAACUCAAGGAGCUCAAAGACUGAUUGGAAGUUGACAUUUCUGAUUUCUGAUUCAAUGUGAAGGAAAAUUCACCUUUGAGUUGAUACAGUAUGUGUGUGCAUAUAAUGCCCCCUUUGGCCUAACCUGGGAGAGCCUUCUGUUCACUGCCAACCUAAGGAGCUCACACAUGUUAAUCAAGAAUGUAUUAUUAUUGGCUCAGCCAGGUUUUACGGGUCUACUUACAGACGGGUCACUCAUUUUGAAAUUAUUUUAUUUUUCUUUAAUUUUUCAUCCUCGUGUAGAAUGCUAUCACGAAACACACAUUUGGAUUAUAGCACAAAGAACAUCUGAUUUAAUGUGAGGUAGGGAAAUAAUCAUUUGAGUAAGCAGCUUGAAAAUGCACCUUGAAAAUGCUUGAAAAGUGCUUGAAUUUGAAUCCUGCAUCUUUUAUACCUUGCCCUUUUGUUUGCCCUGUUUUCGAAGUCGCCCUCUUGCUACUUAAAAAAGCGCUUUUGGUCCAGCUAAUGUCCCUCUGCAUGCUAACUGUACGGGGCUGUAUUUUAGUUGUUAUUAGAUUCAUAACAAAUAAAUCCUGAAAGCUGAA
Molecule: long non-coding RNA, 934 nt
Organism: Trematomus bernacchii (emerald rockcod)
Lineage: Eukaryota; Metazoa; Chordata; Actinopteri; Perciformes; Nototheniidae
Exons: 3
Source: RefSeq, a predicted model, not a curated record